CCUACGGGGGGCUGCCGUGGGGCAUAUUGCGCAAUGGGCGAAAGCCUGACGCAGCGACGCCGCGUGAGGGAUGAAGGUCUUCGGAUCGUAAACCUCUGUUAGCAGGGAAGAACGGUCACUGUGCUAAUCAGCAGUGACUUGACGGUACCUGCAAAGGAAGCACCGGCUAACUCCGUGCCAGCAGCCGCGGUAAUACGGCGGGUGCGAGCGUUAAUCGGAAUUACUGGGCGUAAGGCGCUCGUAGGCGGUAUGUCAAGUCAAGGGUGAAAUCCCCGCGCUCAACGUGGGAACUGCCUUUGAAACUGGCAAACUGGAGUGUGUGAGAGGAUAGUGGAAUUCCAGGUGUAGGAGUGAAAUCCGUAGAUAUCUGGAGGAACAUCAGUGGCGAAGGCGACUAUCUGGCACAUAACUGACGCUGAGGAGCGAAAGCGUGGGUAGCAAACAGGAUUAGAUACCCUGGUAGUC
RNAcentral lists this ribosomal RNA (465 nucleotides) under uncultured bacterium. RNAcentral describes it as "partial 16S ribosomal RNA". It matches the Rfam family "Bacterial small subunit ribosomal RNA", at positions 338 to 795 of the family's 1533-position model. The record is from RNAcentral.